CCAUCUCCGGUGGUGUUUUAUGUUAUAAUGACGUUUUGACUUUUGUUUUUUUUUUUUUUUUUUUGAACACUAUAAUGACGUUUUGACAAAGACACUUCUGUCUUGUUAAAAUCUACUUCAGUUACACUUAUAAGAUGGGAGCUGUCUAAUCUUUGAGAGGUGAUCAUAACCGUUGGAUCAAAAUGACGAAUCCAUCUGACGAUAGCAAAAGAAGACAUUAGGAGAAUCAAACUUUAACAGCUGCUUCAGUUUUCAUUCAUUCGAUUGUGUUAGAAGGAGGGGGAGUUGCUGAGUUCGCAAUCACAAGUAUAUAUAUCUGAAAGAUGAGAUACCUGCUGAUUGGCAUGCUUUUGAGGGCAUUGGGGACAAAGCCACGGUACAAGCCAAUAACUCCUUCACGCUCAACGAUGCCUACAAAACGGUUUAAGGAUAAACCGUUCAGAUCAGUCUUCCGUUUCUUGAAAAUGGUAUCCAAGGGAUAGCAAGUACCAGAGUAGAGGUCAUGCCAGCACAAGCACCAGCACCAAGACUUCCAAGAACAGACAAUUCACCGUCUUCUCUGCUAAAGAGUUUCUGAAUUAAGAAAAAAAAAACAUAAAAAGACAGUUUUGAAACUUGUCAAAUGAAAAGCAGAAGCAGAUGUGACAAACCUUGUAGGUUUCAUAUGCAUACAACUGGAUCGCGCUAUAAGGUACGAUACUUAUCACCUGGAACAUUCAAAAGGCUAAUAAGAUUAUGAAUAAUAAAAUUACAUUUGGGACAUACCUGUAUAUAUAUAAAGAGAGAGUGAGAGUACCUGAGGUAGGUUUCCUUUCCAAUAACCUUUAACACCUUCUUCUCUUUUAACAUUAUCGCCUGUAGUUAUAUUCCAAAAUUUAAAUUACAAAAAACAAACCAAAUCAACAAUGACCAGUAAGUAAGAACCAAUCCUGUACUUAUGAGAAUAUUAUAUAUACCUCAAUGAAACCAAUAGCCUUGUUAGCAGUUUGUUACCCAGCGCUCGAACACAAUGUGUCUAUAUAAUAAUUAUUUAAAAUAAGACGUCAAUUAAAUGAACUAAUCUUCGGCGUACUACGAGGGGUCUUGAUCUUAUGAUAUCAACUGGCAUAUAUAAAAAUAUUGUAGAUUUGCGGUUGAAAGCUAGAGAAGCUCAAAAGAGUGCUUAGAAGAUUGAUGGAGAAAGAAUUGUCGGCUUUUGGUAAAAGUGUAUUAUUGAAAACUUUGCAUGCUUAAUUAUGCUAUAUACGGUUUUUAUUUUUAUUUAUAUCAAUAGACUUAUACUUAUAAGAGAAUAAGUCCAAAAAACACCUAGAAAUUUAAUGCAAGAUGGCACUGUCUGUGGGGAAGAAAGUGAGUAAAAAUGUAACAUCAUAGUUUUGAAAUGAUUAUCAGAUUGCGUUGCUUGUUGAACCAAUAAGGAGAAUAAGACCAAGAACUUAGAGAAAUUUAGGGGAAGAUGCCAAAAAAAUCUGUGGGGAAGAAAGUGAGUAAUAUUGCAGGUUUGAAACAAUUAUCAGAUUCUGUUGUUCUUUUAAGUUUUGUGAAAGUUGUAUUUUGAUAAAACGACUGAAAGCGUGUGAUAGGUUAAACAAAAAUAUAGUAUAGGUUUUGAAUACGUGCUGUAAAAAGAAGAUAAUAUUUUUUUAUAAUUUUCUUUUUCGAUUGAUCCUAACUUCUAUAGAUCACACUUUUGAUGACGUGGCCUUAUUGGCACCGUCUAAUCAUCCCUCUUUGGAAAAAAAAACGUGUAUUCAAGGUUUAAUGAUGAAACCAAAGUUUCUCUUGUGCUGCAAGUAAACCCUCUGAGCUCUCAAUUGUUGCUUUCUGCGGUUGAGAAGAGUUUCAUACCAUCACCGCUUUCACACAAAGCCCCGACGGCCUAAUCUUUCAGGUAACCAUGUCAGACUUUUGGUUUUAAGUUUAACUCCUUUGUACACCAAUUAAUCAGUUGAUUUACAUUUUUAUCAUCACUAAAGCAUGGAUUAAAGGUUAGUAGUAUCUUCCUUCUUCUCUAGAAAAAAAUAUUAGGGUUGAAUUAAUCUAAAUCUUCCGAGAUCAACUUCCGAGUUAAAGUGAUGAGUCAACUUCCGAGAUCAACUCGACCACCUUGACUCGGUGAGUUCCGUCGCGAGCUAAGAAAACGUUAUAUAUAUAUCCGUACUAAGUUCCUUCCCUCAACCUUUUCUCUCCCACGGCGGUCCAAUUACCCGACGGAGACACUGCCGGAGAGAAAUCAGCGAUUCCAGGCGGUGUCAGCCUGCUGAGUCAGCUUUAGUUUGUAACUCGGUCGAGUUAUAUAACCCUAACUCGGUUCAAUAUACGUCUUUGCCUCCUUAGCUCACGGUCUUGUCAAAUGCCUUUAGAACCUUUGAACACGUUUGGGAAGAGAGAACCUCGUUUGUUUGAUUUCGUUCUUGAUUGUUCUUUGUUUGAUUUCAAAUCCAAGUAGAUUCAAGAUAGGAAUCGUUCCUACACCGAUGCUAGCCGAGACGAUCAGAACCAAGUGUUUGAGUUUGAGCAAAGUUAGUAUGUUUUAUGGAUGGGAUCAUGACUACUGAUCUACCUCUCGGUAGCUCGGAAGGGUGGAUUGCUUGCUGCUAACGUUACACCAAGAUUGUCAUGUCUCCAGAGGAAGCUACAUUACUUCGAGUUUCUCUCCCCUCUGUCUGAAACAGAAGAGCAGGGACCGGUUGGUUCAACCGAAGUCAACAUCGGACAAGCAGGAGUACGAAGGUUGUCAUUACUAACUACGCAGGGGUGUGAUCGUUGGUUUCUACAACAAAACUCCACAACUCAAGUUCAUAUGCAGGAGGAACCUGAUUCUCUCCAUCAACAUCGACAAGAACACUGAACGAGGCCUUCAGCUGUCAGAAGAGACUCUCAGAAGAAAAGGAUUGAAGUCAUUGACUUCUCAAGCCAUGUUGAUGUGGCUGAUAGUUGUGGACAGUUUAAGAUGCCAAGAUGUGUGACGCCAAGUAAUGCUUAGGUUCCUCAGAUUCUUUGUGAGAAUGUGGUGAGUAGGUUCUUUAGUACAGCUUUUGACUGAAUAUUGUGAAAUCAAGAAAAGUAUUUUUUUUUUCUGUUUGUCUAUGGAUAUAGUUUACUUUUGUUAUUUUAAAACAGCAUAAGGAUAAAUACUAAAGAAACAGAUAAAGUCCAUUGUCACUUACAAAAUGAAACAAAUGGAACACUAUUAAUAUAGUUUCUGCUUAAUAAUCAAUAAAAAGACUAUUAAUACAGAUUUUCCUUACUAACUUUUUCUUCUCUUUUUUUUUUGUGUUAGAUGGGAUUUGCAGAUGCUCCACCGGAUUUUCGUGGUGACAGCAGUCUCACCGUAGGAGCUUGGGCAGGGCCGGUCUUAAGCACAAGCGAGGGAAGCGGCCGCUUAGGGCAUCAUAUUUAAGGGAAAUUUUUAGUUGUAUAUAGGGCAUAAAAAAAAUUUUACAUGAACAACAAAGACAUAAAGUUUUAAGUGAGCUUAGGGCAUCAAAAAAAAAUUGAAAAUGUUGGACCGGGCACUCAUCAUUGGCGUGAUCCUGCUGAUUAUCAUAUGCCGCGGAUUGACCUACGGUUGCUGGGAGCGGCAACAGACAUCACCGCAGAUCUUCCCGGAUGGUGACGUGGAGAUGAACUGAAGCAAGAAAAAGAUUGUAUUGCAUCACAUAUAGAAAUGCUAUUAGUUCAAAUUACUUAUUAGUAUUAGUGCUACAAAAUAUGUUAUUUAAUAUUAUUAUUAUUGACCUGUCUAGCAUCAAUAUAUUAUUAUUGACUUGUUAACAUCAACAUCAAUUCGAUGACUCAUGUUUAUAUAAAUUUAUACUAAUCACAUUUUCUGCUAAAA
Molecule: long non-coding RNA, 3841 nt
Organism: Brassica rapa (field mustard)
Lineage: Eukaryota; Viridiplantae; Streptophyta; Magnoliopsida; Brassicales; Brassicaceae
Source: RefSeq, a predicted model, not a curated record